This 497-nucleotide ribosomal RNA is filed under the name uncultured bacterium. Its description in RNAcentral is "partial 16S ribosomal RNA". It matches the Rfam family "Bacterial small subunit ribosomal RNA", at positions 28 to 507 of the family's 1533-position model. The record is from RNAcentral.
GAUGAACGCUGGCGGCGUGCCUAAUACAUGCAAGUCGAGCGAACGGACGAGAAGCUUGCUUCUCUGAUGUUAGCGGCGGACGGGUGAGUAACACGUGGAUAACCUACCUAUAAGACUGGGAUAACUUCGGGAAACCGGAGCUAAUACCGGAUAAUAUUUUGAACCGCAGGGUUCAAAAGUGAAAGACGGUCUUGCUGUCACUUAUAGAUGGAUCCGCGCUGCAUUAGCUAGUUGGUAAGGUAACGGCUUACCAAGGCAACGAUGCAUAGCCGACCUGAGAGGGUGAUCGCCCACACUGGAACUGAGACACGGUCCAGACUCCUACGGGAGGCAGCAGUAGGGAAUCUUCCGCAAAGGGCGAAAGCCUGACGGAGCAACGCCGCGUGAGUGAUGAAGGUCUUCGGAUCGUAAAACUCUGUUAUUAGGGAAGAACAUAUGUGUAAGUAACUGUGCACAUCUUGACGGUACCUAAUCAGAAAGCCACGGCUAACUACGUG